UAAAAAAAAAAAAAGACAUUUAUUCAGUAUCAUGAUCAGAUUAUUAAAACAUUUAGCAAUCAACAGCAUGGGUACAAAACAAAACAAUCUACACUGAAACCCUGUGUUGGAAUGCUUUACUUUCCACAGAACAGAAACUAUUAUACAAUUAGUCACAAAUACAGUCAUCAAGUUCUGUGAUCGUGGUGGCUUUGGUGGCAGCCAUGGUGGUGGUGAUGGAUAUGGUGGCAGUGGGGAUUGCUAUAAUAGAUUUGGUAAUGAUUGAAGCAAUUUUGGAGGUGGUAAAAGCUACAAUGAUUUUGGCAAUGACAACAAUCAGUCUUCAAAUUUUGGACCCAUGAAGGGAGGAAACUUUGGAGGCAGAAGCUCUGGGCCCUAUGGUGGUAGAGGCCAAUACUUUGCCAAACCACGAUACCAAGGUGGCUAAGGCAGUUCCAGUAGCAGUAGUGGUUAAGGCAGU
Homo sapiens (human) is the source of this 460-nucleotide long non-coding RNA. The record is from Ensembl. Lineage: Eukaryota; Metazoa; Chordata; Mammalia; Primates; Hominidae.